RNAcentral lists this ribosomal RNA (253 nucleotides) under uncultured bacterium. RNAcentral's name for it is "partial 16S ribosomal RNA". It matches the Rfam family "Bacterial small subunit ribosomal RNA", at positions 524 to 776 of the family's 1533-position model. The record is from RNAcentral.
UACGUAGGUGGCAAGCGUUGUCCGGAAUUAUUGGGCGUAAAGCGCGCGCAGGCGGUCCUUUAAGUCUGAUGUGAAAGCCCACGGCUCAACCGUGGAGGGUCAUUGGAAACUGGGGGACUUGAGUACAGAAGAGGAAAGCGGAAUUCCACGUGUAGCGGUGAAAUGCGUAGAGAUGUGGAGGAACACCUGUGGCGAAGGCGCCUUGCUGGCCGAUUUCUGACGCUGAGGCGCGAAAGCGUGGGGAGCAAACAGG